RNAcentral lists this ribosomal RNA (373 nucleotides) under uncultured prokaryote. RNAcentral's name for it is "bacterial SSU rRNA". It matches the Rfam family "Bacterial small subunit ribosomal RNA", at positions 524 to 896 of the family's 1533-position model. The record is from RNAcentral.
GACGAAGGGGGCUAGCGUUGUUCGGAAUUACUGGGCGUAAAGGGCGCGCAGGCGGCUCUACAAGUUAGGCGUUAAAGACCCAGGCUCAACCUGGGAAAUGCGCUUGAUACUGUGGGGCUAGAGAUCGGAAGAGGAGAGUGGAAUUCCCAGUGUAGAGGUGAAAUUCGUAGAUAUUGGGAAGAACACCAGUGGCGAAGGCGGCUCUCUGGUCCGAUUCUGACGCUGAGGCGCGAAAGCGUGGGGAGCAAACAGGAUUAGAUACCCUGGUAGUCCACGCCGUAAACGAUGUGUGCUGGACGUUGGAAGGCCUAGCCUUUCGGUGUCGUAGCUAACGCGUUAAGCACACCGCCUGGGGAGUACGGCCGCAAGGUUA